Molecule: long non-coding RNA, 296 nt
Filed under: Zostera marina
Lineage: Eukaryota; Viridiplantae; Streptophyta; Magnoliopsida; Alismatales; Zosteraceae
Description: long non-coding RNA (ZMAR_LNC002401)
Source: RNAcentral
GAACAAGCUAGCUAGCUACCCGGAGGAGAAAAGGAACCGGCCGACAGUGGCGAGGAACAGGCGGGAUUGGAGACCUGGAUGUACGAAGUAAACAGAUUCGAGCUUCUCUCUGAAGGAGGUAGGUAGUUCCUCGUAGAUCGAUCGGAGAGACGAGAAUCCCAAGAAAUUCUCCGAUUUCUGGACUCUUGUGUGCACGUACACCAAACAGAACGGAACCACGUCGCCUUCAUCGGUGACGAGCUUUGGGAAGAUUCUCAUUUCCAAGUAUUUCCUCAAAUCCUCCUCCUUCACAACCU